AGGACGGGUGAGUAACACGUGGGUAACCUGCCUGUAAGACUGGGAUAACUCCGGGAAACCGGAGGCUAAUACCGGAUAGUUCCUUGAACCGCAUGGUUCAAGGAUAGAAAGACGAGUUCUCAGGCUGUCACUUACAGAUGGACCCGCGAGCGCAUUAGCUAGUUGGUGGGGUAAUGGCUCACCAAGGCGACAAUAGCGUAGCCGACCUGAGAGGGUGAUCGGCCACACAUGGGACUGAGACACGGCCCAGACUCCUACGAGGAGGCAGACAGUAGGGAAUCUUCCGCAAUGGACGAAAGUCUGACGGAACAACGCCGCGAUGAGAUGAUGAAGGUUAUUCGGAUCGUAAAGCUCUGUUGUUAGGGAAGAACAAGUGCGAGAGUAACGCUCGCACCUUGACGGUACCUAACCAGAAAGCCACGGCUAACUACGUGCCAGCAGCCGCGGUAAUACGUAGUGGCAAGCGUUGUCCGGAAUAUUGGGCGUAAAGGGCUCGCAGCGGUUUCUUAAGUCUGAUGUGAAAGCCCCCGGCUCAACCGGGGAGGGUCAUUGGAAACUGGGAAACUUGAGUGCAGAAGAGGAGAGUGGAAUUCCACGUGUAGCGGUGAAAUGCGUAGAGAUGUGGAGGAACACCAGUGGCGAAGGCGACUCUCUGGUCUGUAACUGACGCUGAGGAGCGAAAGCGUGGGGAGCGAACAGGAUUAGAUACCCUGGUAGUCCACGCCGUAAACGAUGAGUGCUAAGUGUUAGGGGGUUUCCGCCCCUUAGUGCUGCAGCUAACGCAUUAAGCACUCCGCCUGGGGAGUACGGUCGCAAGACUGAAACUCAAAGGAAUUGACGGGGGCCCGCACAAGCGGUGGAGCAUGUGGUUUAAUUCGAAGCAACGCGAAGAACCUUACCAGGUCUUGACAUCCUCUGACAACCCUAGA
RNAcentral lists this ribosomal RNA (929 nucleotides) under Bacillus sp. UST050418-278. Its description in RNAcentral is "bacterial SSU rRNA". It matches the Rfam family "Bacterial small subunit ribosomal RNA", at positions 99 to 1004 of the family's 1533-position model. Lineage: Bacteria; Bacillati; Bacillota; Bacilli; Caryophanales; Bacillaceae. The record is from RNAcentral.